UGACUGUAUCUUAAACCACCUUCCACAUGAAGCAUUCUGGAAUGUUGUAUAUGAUGAAGCUCUUUGCAUCAUCCAGUCAGGUGACAAUCCUGUCCAGUGCUCUUGGGCUGGAUAAGGUCUCGUCUCCCAUCGGCCCUCCUGUGGGUUGGGCAGGCACUGACAAGCCUGUUUGGCUGCAGGGGUAAGGUGGGCUGCCUGCCUGGAGGGAGGGUGUCUGGGUGGGGGGCUUGACCCCGGACCCUGGACCACUGGCUGGAUGGCUGCAAUGACUGAACAAAAUGCAGCUGAUCUCGUUUCAGAAUGCUCUGCAUGUAGUCUAGUUAUCUAAGAUUGGGAUUAUUUGGUUUUCAAACUUCUGUUUUUUUUUUUUCUAGCUCGUUGGCUGUUGAAGUGUUGCUGUCCUGGUGGAGUGGGAAGUGCUCGUGUUGUACACCGGCUCGCACUCCUGUUUGGGCAGCAAGAAGUGGGACAGUCUCGUUGGAACUGGGAAACCAGGCCAAGUCAAUUAAACCCCUGACUAUGUGUUUUGCUGAAUAAAUAAAUCUACAAAUGUGA
Molecule: long non-coding RNA, 555 nt
Organism: Coregonus clupeaformis (lake whitefish)
Lineage: Eukaryota; Metazoa; Chordata; Actinopteri; Salmoniformes; Salmonidae
Exons: 2
Source: RefSeq, a predicted model, not a curated record